RNAcentral lists this ribosomal RNA (253 nucleotides) under uncultured bacterium. RNAcentral describes it as "partial 16S ribosomal RNA". It matches the Rfam family "Bacterial small subunit ribosomal RNA", at positions 524 to 776 of the family's 1533-position model. The record is from RNAcentral.
CACGUAGGGCGCAAGCGUUGUCCGGAAUUAUUGGGCGUAAAGAGCUCGUAGGCGGACUGUCACGUCUGCUGUGAAAAGCUGGGGCUUAACCCUGGCCUUGCAGUGGAUACGGGCAGACUAGAGGUAGGUAGGGGAGAAUGGAAUUCCCGGUGUAGCGGUGAAAUGCGCAGAUAUCAGGAGGAACACCGAUGGCGAAGGCAGGUCUCUGGGCCACUACUGACGCUGAGAAGCGAAAGCAUGGGGAGCGAACAGG